RNAcentral lists this ribosomal RNA (448 nucleotides) under uncultured bacterium. RNAcentral describes it as "SSU rRNA". It matches the Rfam family "Bacterial small subunit ribosomal RNA", at positions 26 to 518 of the family's 1533-position model. The record is from RNAcentral.
AGAGCGAACGCUGGCGGCAGGCCUAACACAUGCAAGUCGAGCGGCCGUAGCAAUACGGCAGCGGCAGACGGGAGAGUAACACGUGGGAACGCGCCCUUCGGUUCGGAAUAACUCAGGGAAACUUGGGCUAAUACCGGAUACGCCCUUACGGGGAAAGAUUUAUUGCCGAAGGAACGGCCCGCGUCCGAUUAGCUUGUUGGUGAGGUAACGGCUCACCAAGGCGACGAUCGGUAGCUGGUCUGAGAGGAUGACCAGCCUCACUGGGACUGAGACACGGCCCAGACUCCUACGGGAGGCAGCAGUGGGGAAUAUUGGACAAUGGGCGCAAGCCUGAUCCAGCCAUGCCGCGUGGUGAUGAAGGCCCUAGGGUUGUAAAGGCCCUUUCGGCGGGAAGAUAAUGACGGUACCCGACAGAAGAAGCCCCGGCUAACUUCGUGCCAGCAGCCGC